CUAUGCUUUAGAGGGACCACUUUGGCUCCUGGGUGGAAGAUGAACUGAAGUAGGAAGAGAUUUGAGACUAUUGAAAUAGUCCCCAUGGGAGACUUCUAGGAGGGAUACCAGGAAGGGCAGAAGGCCAAGACUUGGCCAUGGAUUGGAUGAGUGGGGGAGAGUUAAGAGGGCAGUCUAGUACCCAGGCUGGUCCGGAUUCGAGCCAGAACAAAUCAGGUCUUGAGUCAGCUCUGUCCCUUGUCACAGCCUCUCUGGGGAAGGAUGAGGAAGGGAAGAAGGGUGGGGUGUUGAGGUCUACCUGCCUUCCAGGUGCUCGGGUUCCAUCAGCUGCUGCUUUGGGCGAUGCAAAUCCUGGGGACAAUAGGGCCCCUGUUUCCCCUUGUCCUCUCUCUGCUGAAAAGGUCAGGGCUGGACCUCUGGGGACUCACUCGAUGCUCGGCUCCAGAUGGUAAGAUGUCUCUUCCCUGGGACAGCUCCAAGGCCUUCAGGCCACCUACUGACCCAGGAUCCAGGAGGGUUUGGAGGGGAGCCGGGCCAGUCUGACGCUGCCCUCUUCUCUGUGUUCUCUGCAGGACAAAAUCGGUGGCCACAAGACCCAGGUCCUGCCUCCCUUGCCACCCCCCAGAUCACUGGCUUCCACAUCUUGGAGAGAGGAUGCUCUUGGGCCGUCUUCCUCCAGUUCUCCUGGACUUUCGAGCCAAUGGGUAAGAUUUCUUGGCCCUCCUCCUCCAUCCCAGCUCCAUCCAUCCUCCAUCUUCUUGUCCCUGCUACCCCUCUCCUCCAGCCUCAUCCCCAGGCUUCCCACUGGCCCCUCUCUCCCCUGAAUUGAUACCAAGGAGGAAGGAGAAUAUGAGCUCCCUCCUUGUGAGUCCCUGCCCCUCAAGAUGGGCUCUGCCUGCCCUCUCUCCCUGGAGAACAACAAUGAGCUCUAUCUGGAUCGCCUCACCCCCAGUGGACCUCCAAAACCAGUGCCCCAGUCCACCAUGCUGCUAGCAGCCCUGAACCUACAGGAGGAUGGGGGUGGAGGAGACUACUUUGGAAGAAAAGAUGUGAGCACGGCUGGAAAUACGGAUGGGGCUGGAGAAGAUGAAGCUGAGGAGUCCAUCUACCUGGAGCCCAGCCUGGUUUUGCCUUUAAGCCAGGCCUUGAAUUCUCAUCUUCCACCACCCCCAACCGUGUUCCCCAGACCAGUGGUGGCCUCCAGCUCUGCCUACUGGUCCCCCUCAGAGCCUCAGGAAUCCCGGAGUGGGACAGCAGAUGUCACCCCCAUUGGUAAGAACGGCAGCUCUUUUCCUCCAGGACCACAGGUGCAGCCCCCUCCCAGCCAGCCAGAGCAGAGUCAGGCUCAGAGUCCUCCUCCACAACCCUCCACGUCUUGCUCUUUGCUCUGGAAAUGCCCAUGCCCCUCACCGUGUCAGGCCUGCCCCUGCGGGGAGAAAAAACAAGACCACCUCAUGGAGAGAGUCCGGAGGGCCUGGAUUCUGAGCCCACUUCCGAGGUUUACUAGCCCUGUGCUCUCGAGCAAGUCACUCCCCCAACUGGGCCUCAGUUUCCACAUCUGGACGGUGGCUAAGGCCCCCUUCAGCUCUCACUGCUCCCUUGCUCAGGCCCAGCCUGUGCAUUUGGGUACUCUAUUGCCCCAGCCCCAGUCUGUAACCUCCUUUUUCCAGCUGGGCGGAGAGCAUCCUGUGCCCGCAAAGGAACUACGCCUGGGGAAGAGGAGCUGA
Monodelphis domestica (gray short-tailed opossum) is the source of this 1727-nucleotide long non-coding RNA. The record is from Ensembl. Lineage: Eukaryota; Metazoa; Chordata; Mammalia; Didelphimorphia; Didelphidae.